ACUCACAGCCAUAUCACCCUGCAGCCCAAGACCAGUUACUCACUGAAGCUAAGCAGGGCUGAGCCUGGUCAGUACCUGGAUGGGAGACCACAUGGGAAAACUAGGUUGCUGUUAUUA
Molecule: ribosomal RNA, 117 nt
Filed under: Danio rerio (zebrafish)
Lineage: Eukaryota; Metazoa; Chordata; Actinopteri; Cypriniformes; Danionidae
Source: RNAcentral